RNAcentral lists this ribosomal RNA (485 nucleotides) under Listeria monocytogenes. Its description in RNAcentral is "bacterial SSU rRNA". It matches the Rfam family "Bacterial small subunit ribosomal RNA", at positions 38 to 504 of the family's 1533-position model. Lineage: Bacteria; Bacillati; Bacillota; Bacilli; Caryophanales; Listeriaceae. The record is from RNAcentral.
GGCGGCGUGCCUAAUACAUGCAAGUCGAACGAACGGAGGAAGAGCUUGCUCUUCCAAAGUUAGUGGCGGACGGGUGAGUAACACGUGGGCAACCUGCCUGUAAGUUGGGGAUAACUCCGGGAAACCGGGGCUAAUACCGAAUGAUAAAGUGUGGCGCAUGCCACGCUUUUGAAAGAUGGUUUCGGCUAUCGCUUACAGAUGGGCCCGCGGUGCAUUAGCUAGUUGGUAGGGUAAUGGCCUACCAAGGCAACGAUGCAUAGCCGACCUGAGAGGGUGAUCGGCCACACUGGGACUGAGACACGGCCCAGACUCCUACGGGAGGCAGCAGUAGGGAAUCUUCCGCAAUGGACGAAAGUCUGACGGAGCAACGCCGCGUGUAUGAAGAAGGUUUUCGGAUCGUAAAGUACUGUUGUUAGAGAAGAACAAGGAUAAGAGUAACUGCUUGUCCCUUGACGGUAUCUAACCAGAAAGCCACGGCUAACUAC